This 517-nucleotide ribosomal RNA is filed under the name uncultured Lachnospiraceae bacterium. Its description in RNAcentral is "partial 16S ribosomal RNA". The record is from RNAcentral. Lineage: Bacteria; Bacillati; Bacillota; Clostridia; Lachnospirales; Lachnospiraceae.
CACGUAGUUAGCCGGGGCUUCUUACUCAGGUACCGUCAUCUUCUUCCCUGCUGAUAGAGCUUUACAUACCGAAAUACUUCUUCACUCACGCGGCGUUGCUGCAUCAGGGUUUCCCCCAUUGUGCAAUAUUCCCCACUGCUGCCUCCCGUAGGAGUUUGGGCCGUGUCUCAGUCCCAAUGUGGCCGGUCACCCUACUCAGGUCGGCUACUGAUCGUCGCCUUGGGUCGGGCCCGUUACCCCUCCAACUAGCUAAUCAGACGCGGGUCCAUCUCAUACCACCGGAGUUUUCACACAAGAACAUGCAUCCUCGUGCGCUUAUGCGGUAUUAGCAGUCAUUUCUAACUGUUACUCCCCCUGUAUGAGGCACGGUUACCCACGCGUUACUCCACCCGUCCGCUACUCAGUCAAUCUAGCUUCCAUACCGAAAACUUCCGACUUAAACUCGUACCUUCGUUCGUACUUCGCUAUGUGUUAACGCUACGCCGCAGCGUUCAUCCUGACGUCAGGACUCAAACCU